GGGGUUGUGACUCAGUGGUAAAGUGCUUGCCUGGCAUGUAUGAGGCACUGGGUUCAAUCCCUAGCACCACA
RNAcentral lists this transfer RNA (71 nucleotides) under Marmota monax (woodchuck). RNAcentral's name for it is "tRNA.Ala". It matches the Rfam family "tRNA". From Rfam's summary of the family: Transfer RNA (tRNA) molecules are approximately 80 nucleotides in length. Their secondary structure includes four short double-helical elements and three loops (D, anti-codon, and T loops). Lineage: Eukaryota; Metazoa; Chordata; Mammalia; Rodentia; Sciuridae. The record is from RNAcentral.